UACGUAGGGGGCAAGCGUUGUCCGGAUUUAUUGGGCUUAAAGCGCGCGUAGGCGGCUCUGUAAGUCAGUGCUGAAAUAUCCCAGCUUAACUGGGAGGGUGGCAUUGAUACUGCGGGGCUAGAGUACAGAUGAGGUAGGCGGAAUUGACGGUGUAGCGGUGAAAUGCUUAGAUAUCGUCAAGAACACCUAUAGCGAAGGCAGCUUACUAGGCUGUAACUGACGCUGAGGCACGAAAGUGUGGGGAGCAAACAGG
This 253-nucleotide ribosomal RNA is filed under the name uncultured bacterium. Its description in RNAcentral is "partial 16S ribosomal RNA". It matches the Rfam family "Bacterial small subunit ribosomal RNA", at positions 524 to 776 of the family's 1533-position model. The record is from RNAcentral.